Molecule: non-coding RNA, 300 nt
Filed under: Callithrix jacchus (white-tufted-ear marmoset)
Lineage: Eukaryota; Metazoa; Chordata; Mammalia; Primates; Cebidae
Source: RNAcentral
CACAAAAGGAGGGAGGGAGGGAGGGAGCCAGAGGCAUAACUUCCUCCACCUUCGGGAGCAGUGGACAGAGUGGGGGGCUUGGAGGGGAGACUGGGGAGCCUAUCCCCUCGGUCUGCCCCGUUUGCCCACCCACUCCGGUGUGUCUGUCGGUUGCAGUGUUGGAGGUCGGCGCCGGCCCCCGCCUUCCGCGUCCCCCACGGGAAGGAAGCACCCCCGGUAUUAAAACGAGCGGGGCGGAAAGAAGCCUUCAGUCGCCGGCCGGGAGGCGAGCCGAUGCCGAGCUGCUCCGCGUCCACCAUG